UCCGUAGGUGGUUUGUCAAGUCUGUCGUCAAAGAAUGGAGCUUAACUCCAUAGAGGCGGUGGAAACUGAGAGACUAGAGUUCGGUAGGGGUAGCGGGAAUUCCCAGUGUAGCGGUGAAAUGCGUAGAUAUUGGGAAGAACAUCGGUGGCGAAAGCUCGCUACUGGGCCGAAACUGACACUGAGGGACGAAAGCUAGGGUAGCGAAAG
This 207-nucleotide ribosomal RNA is filed under the name uncultured bacterium. Its description in RNAcentral is "partial 16S ribosomal RNA". It matches the Rfam family "Bacterial small subunit ribosomal RNA", at positions 568 to 774 of the family's 1533-position model. The record is from RNAcentral.